Molecule: small nuclear RNA, 122 nt
Organism: Saimiri boliviensis boliviensis (Bolivian squirrel monkey)
Lineage: Eukaryota; Metazoa; Chordata; Mammalia; Primates; Cebidae
Source: Ensembl
GUGUUGUAUAAAAGGAGAAAAGUUGGCAUACCUCUUGACGAGGGUGAAAGAGGCUCUCAGGCCUGAGAACACACAGACAGUCAAGGCAUUGCCACCUACUUUGUGUCGUCUGACUAUUCUUA